This 600-nucleotide ribosomal RNA is filed under the name Triticum aestivum (bread wheat). RNAcentral's name for it is "partial small subunit ribosomal RNA". Lineage: Eukaryota; Viridiplantae; Streptophyta; Magnoliopsida; Poales; Poaceae. The record is from RNAcentral.
AUGCUAGUGGUCUCACAAUCUUCAGCCUUCAUUCUAAAUGGUACACCUCUAUCGCCUCUGCGAUUCAUCCUGGCAAUUGAUCCCCUUCACCGUCUCAUCGCCAAAGAUACAAAAGACGGAAUUUUGGCACCUUUGCCAGGACGAGAGAUCAAGUUACGGGUCAGUCUUUAUGUUGAUGAUGCUAUCAUCUUUGCGAACCCGGACAGAGAGGAGUUUGACAAGCUACUGGAGAUCCUAGAUUACCUCGGAGAGGCCUCAGGACUGCGCCUCAACCCAACCAAAUCCACUGUAACCCCACUAAGAUGCGAAGAGAUUGAUCUUGCUGAUGUCCUACAAAAUUUUGGUGGGCAAAUCAAGGAAGUGGACAAGGUGCGUCUGCGUUUCCUCUGGGCACAGGAAAAAGAGAUCUCUGGUGGGCAGUGCAAAGUAAAAUGGGACAAGGUUUGCUCCCCAACUGAUCGGGGAGGGCUGGGAAUUCUGGAUCUUGAGAGAUUCUCUCACGCACUCCGGCUGCGCUGGUUAUGGCUGGAAUGGCACCAUGCUGAACGCCCAUGGGUAGGUUCAGAACUGCCCUGUGAUAGCAAAGACAGAGCGCUGUUU